UACGUAGGGUGCGAGCGUUGUCCGGAAUUACUGGGCGUAAAGAGCUCGUAGGUGGUUUGUCGCGUUGUCCGUGAAAACUCACAACUCAAUUGUGGGCGUGCGGGCGAUACGGGCAGACUGGAGUACUGCAGGGGAGACUGGAAUUCCUGGUGUAGCGGUGGAAUGCGCAGAUAUCAGGAGGAACACCGGUGGCGAAGGCGGGUCUCUGGACCGGUACUGACGCUGAGGCGCGAAAGCCAGGGGAGCGAACGGG
RNAcentral lists this ribosomal RNA (253 nucleotides) under uncultured bacterium. RNAcentral's name for it is "partial 16S ribosomal RNA". It matches the Rfam family "Bacterial small subunit ribosomal RNA", at positions 524 to 776 of the family's 1533-position model. The record is from RNAcentral.